UACGGAGGGUGCAAGCGUUAUCCGGAUUUACUGGGUUUAAAGGGUGCGCAGGCGGAUAUGUAAGUCAGUGGUGAAAUCUCCGGGCUUAACCUGCAAAUUGCCGUUGAUACUAUAUAUCUUGAAUGCUGUGGAGGUAAGCGGAAUAUGUCAUGUAGCGGUGAAAUGCUUAGAGAUGACAUAGAACACCUAUUGCGAAGGCAGCUUACUACGCAGAGAUUGACGCUCAUGCACGAAAGCGUGGGGAUCAAACAGG
RNAcentral lists this ribosomal RNA (253 nucleotides) under uncultured bacterium. Its description in RNAcentral is "partial 16S ribosomal RNA". It matches the Rfam family "Bacterial small subunit ribosomal RNA", at positions 524 to 776 of the family's 1533-position model. The record is from RNAcentral.